RNAcentral lists this long non-coding RNA (2646 nucleotides) under Leptinotarsa decemlineata (Colorado potato beetle). RNAcentral describes it as "uncharacterized LOC111502202". Lineage: Eukaryota; Metazoa; Arthropoda; Insecta; Coleoptera; Chrysomelidae. The record is from RNAcentral.
UCAUAUGAAUAUGUAGUAUAAAAGAACUUAUAUUUAAUUUUUUCCAUGAUUUCACAACGAACUAGUUUACUUGAAAGAAGAUACUUGUAAACAUUUCACAAUUGUUUGAAAGCAUGGUUAACUUCACACUUUACUAUCACUUCAUGCUUGAGUAACUGAAACAAAUGAAUAAGUAUGUUUACUUGUCAAACAAAUGUUUUAUCAGUGUUGACCUUCCUAUUGUACCAAUUAAAUUAUAUAUAUUCUAGUAUACUAUCAGAAAUUGUUGCAAGUUAGAUAAUAUGUAAGUUUUACCAAUGUCACGUCUGUGGGAUCAUGCCAAGAAUUAACAGAAAUUGAACAGUUUUCAACAAAAACUGAGACUGGAAACAUGUUCAAACUCAUUAUGGCUUAUGGUAUUUAUUGUGGGUAAUGUUGGUGCAAGCUCAACAAUUUUUUCGAAAGGUUUCUCCCAAGCGUACAUUUUGAUGACCUGAAUUCCAGCAGUAAUUUCGCUCAUGAGUUUUACUCUAUGAUCUGUCCUCAGUGCUAUUUUGAACCUCAGUUGGCCCUGUAAUCUUGACAAAUAACCUACAAUGAAAACAAACUAGGAACACAAAAGACUAAGGUUAAGUGACUUCUUGAUGAAAACUAAUGGAAAUUAAUAACCAAAAAAUAUAAUACAGGAUGCAAUAAAUGACUACAAAUAUCAGAUCAGACAACAAAUUAAUUACGUUUGCUGCAAGGGGGAAGCUGUCAUCAACUGAAAUGAAUUAGAACCUACGGCAGACAGAAAAUGUAUCCGAUCCAACCGGAAACCUCUAAGGAUUCCAUAGAAUUGUGAACGGUAUCUUUGACAACAAAUUUUGAGUGAACGGCUACAACACCCGAAGAAACGACACACCCGAGGAGUAGUGUACGAUUUCUCCUGCCAAGAAUUCUUCAAGAACAUUAAGGUCAGAGCUAACCAUAACCAUAUUUAACCAAAUUUUUAAAUCACUCAAGAGAUAUAUGAAAUUGCAUUUGAAGUCCAAGAGUGGGUAUCGAAUUCCGAACAAAAAAAUUGUUAGGGGUUAUCCUACAAAUUUUCAUCUUUCACGGAUCAGAGAAUGAUUUUUAAAAUAACUUGAAGCAAUCAUUUAUUUGUAUGCAUUCAAUUAUAAUCGUACAAUAAAAACAACAGUAAUUAUAUAACACAAAUAAUAACAGUAAUACAGCCACUAUGGCCUAACAAUUCUAUAAUUGCAUUAACACACAAUGUAGGUAUCUGUUAAUUUUCCACAUUGAAAUAAGUCUUCGAAAUAUGUGAGAUAUAGCUAAUCUAGACCAGCAAACAUCUCACAGAACAAGGUGACUAACUGAACCUUUUCUCUUUACUUUCUUCCCAUACAUUUUUGAUAAACUAUUGGAACCAUUCUGCCAAAAAUAUUCAACUGACAUCUUUUAAUUAAUAAACUUUGAAAGUUUUGAAACUAUAUGUAGUAAUAUCAACCGACAUUAUUCAAUAAAUAACAUUCCAAAGAAGCACUGAGCACACCAGUGAAAUAAAAGUUUUGAUGUAUUUUCUAUUGUAUAAUGUAAUGUUGUUUUCACAUUGAGGUAGGUUUAUGAAAAAAAAAAUCAUCUGUCCGAAUUUCUGAGUCAGACAGGUGUUUCCAACAUAAUAACAAAGGUGUAGACGGGCUUCAAAUUUUUCAAACAAUAAGUAAAUAAGUUCAGAAUUUCAAGUCAGAAUUUAACACAUUUUUCUUCUUUUUUAUUGAAUUCAUACUGUUCAUGCAAAAUAUUUCUGUAUUGGAGAUACAGAAUUCCAAACAUUUUGUAGUGUUUUUGAUUGUACUUCAUGGGAAAUUUCUCCUUAAAUAAUUUGCAAAAAUAAAUGUAAUGUAGGUGUAUAUGUAUACAGGUGUAGAGAGGGUAAACUUUCAAUUGAGCCUGAUAAGUUACUGUCUGAAUUGAAUAUAUUUUUCACAAAGAAAAAUUCGCUAUUUGAGUAAAGUGUUGUAUUUAAUGAUUUUGUCUACAAAAAAGAGCUAAAAACUAUACGUUUUAUUAAAUUCAACUUGCAGUUUUUUUUUUUGGUAAAUGAACCGUGUGUCAGGUGACAGUCUUUUUGUUUUGGUCUGGGAAAAGUGUAAUCGGUAGAUUUAAGUUGUAGUUGUUCUUUUCAGUUCUGGAAAGUUCUGAAACCUUCGAAUAAGUAAUUGUGCUGUUCUCAAAUCUUUUUUAUACAGAUAAGAUUAUAAAAUGCCACCCGUUACUGAUUAAUAACGCAUUUUCAAUGAAAAAUAUAUUGAAUUUACGUAGUAACUUCAAUACAUUUUACAAAAUACAAAAAAUUUUCAUAAUCUAAAACUGAGCAGAAUUCAUAUGGAGAAAAAGAGUUGUGGUAUAAUAAUAUUCCUCAUUGAUUUGAACAAAGUACUGAAUGAAUAUCUAAUAGUAUUAUUACAGUGAGCCACCUUGUUCUGUUACAAUUAAAAUAAAAAUUUGUGCUACGUUAGGUUUCUCUAAGGUUAGUCUAUAAAAUUAUUUGGCUACCUUACCUGAUAUUUAACUUAUCUUAUAAGAAUAAUAAUAUAUUGGAGAUCUUAUCUUAUCACAUCUAAUAUAAAUUAUUUAGAAAAUAAAGAUUUCUUAUAUGAUUAUAAUAAAUAAUUCAAAUCA